RNAcentral lists this ribosomal RNA (440 nucleotides) under uncultured bacterium. RNAcentral's name for it is "partial 16S ribosomal RNA". It matches the Rfam family "Bacterial small subunit ribosomal RNA", at positions 338 to 795 of the family's 1533-position model. The record is from RNAcentral.
CCUACGGGCGGCUGCAGUGGGGAAUAUUGGACAAUGGGGGGAACCCUGAUCCAGCGACGCCGCGUGAGUGAAGAAUUAUUUCGGUAUGGAAAGCUCUAUCAGCAGGGAAGAAAAUGACGGUACCUGACUAAGAAGCCCCGGCGAACUACGUGCCAGCAUCGGCGGUAAUACGCAGGGGGCAAGCGUUAUUAGGGUUUACGGGGGGUAAAGGGAGCGUAAACGGGUCAGCAAGUGUGAUGGGAAAGUUCGGGGCCCAACCCCGGUACUGCAUUGGAAACUGUCGAACUGGAGUACAGGAGAGGUAAGCGGAAUUCCUAGUGUAGCGGUGAAAUGCGUAGAUAUUAGGAGGAACACCAGUGGCGAAGGCGGCUUACUGGACUGUAACUGACGUUGAGGCUCGAAAGCGUGGGGAGCAAACAGGAUUAGAUACCCCGGUAGUC